UUUCGUUUUCCAAAAAAAAAGAGAAAUUGAAGCAGAUUAUAUAAUAAGAGGGUAUACAUGGAUUAUACGUAGCAAAAUUAAGUAAUUUUCUAGCAAAGCAACAUUUUACAAAUUUUAAGCCUCUCAUAACAAGUGGGCCUCAGCAUUAGUAUCCAAGUAGCACAACAGCUUUGUCAGUGCCCUCUAUAUCGAUAUAGAUAUACGUAUAUGUAUUGCCAAUGCUAUGUGUAGCAUUCGUGUUACUGUUGGCC
RNAcentral lists this unclassified non-coding RNA (251 nucleotides) under Hevea brasiliensis (rubber tree). Lineage: Eukaryota; Viridiplantae; Streptophyta; Magnoliopsida; Malpighiales; Euphorbiaceae. The record is from RNAcentral.